RNAcentral lists this ribosomal RNA (481 nucleotides) under uncultured bacterium. Its description in RNAcentral is "partial 16S ribosomal RNA". It matches the Rfam family "Bacterial small subunit ribosomal RNA", at positions 28 to 507 of the family's 1533-position model. The record is from RNAcentral.
GAUGAACGCUGGCGGCGUGCUUAACACAUGCAAGUCGAACGAAACACCUUAUUUGAUUUUCUUCGGAACUGAAGAUUUGGUGAUUGAGUGGCGGACGGGUGAGUAACGCGUGGGUAACCUGCCCUGUACAGGGGGAUAACAGUCAGAAAUGACUGCUAAUACCGCAUAAGACCACAGCACCGCAUGGUGCAGGGGUAAAAACUCCGGUGGUACAGGAUGGACCCGCGUCUGAUUAGCUGGUUGGUGAGGUAACGGCUCACCAAGGCGACGAUCAGUAGCCGGCUUGAGAGAGUGAACGGCCACAUUGGGACUGAGACACGGCCCAAAAUCCUACGCGAGGCAGCAGUGGGGAAUAUUGCACAAUGGGGGAAAACCUGAUGCAGCGACGCCGCGUGAGUGAAGAAGUAUUUCGGUAUGUAAAGCUCUAUCAGAAGGGAAGAAAAUGACGGUACCUGACUAAGAAGCACCGGCUAACUACGUG